GUAGUUGGAACAACAGGGGAAAGCGCGAACGCAGUCCCCCACUACCACAAAUUAUGCAGUCGAGUUUCCCACAUUUGGGGAAAUCGCAGGGGUCAGCACAUCCGGAGUGCAAUGGAUAAGCCUCGCUCUGGGAAAACCACCUUCGUGAUCAUGGUAUCUCCCCUGCCAGUUCAGGGGAAAGCGCGAACGCAGUCCCCCACUACCACAAAUUAUGCAGUCGAGUUUCCCACAUUUGGGGAAAUCGCAGGGGUCAGCACAUCCGGAGUGCAAUGGAUAAGCCUCGCCCUGGGAAAACCACCUUCAUGAUCAUGGUAUCUCCCCUGCCAGG
Macaca mulatta (Rhesus monkey) is the source of this 328-nucleotide non-coding RNA. NCBI's taxonomy places the organism in Eukaryota, Metazoa, Chordata, Mammalia, Primates, Cercopithecidae. The record is from RefSeq and is a predicted model, not a curated record.